This 253-nucleotide ribosomal RNA is filed under the name uncultured bacterium. RNAcentral describes it as "partial 16S ribosomal RNA". It matches the Rfam family "Bacterial small subunit ribosomal RNA", at positions 524 to 776 of the family's 1533-position model. The record is from RNAcentral.
UACGGGGGGGGCAAGCGUUGUUCGGAAUUACUGGGCGUAAAGGGCUCGUAGGUGGCCAACUAAGUCAGACGUGAAAUCCCUCGGCUUAACCGGGGAACUGCGUCUGAUACUGGAUGGCUUGAGUUUGGGAGAGGGACGCGGAAUUCCAGGUGUAGCGGUGAAAUGCGUAGAUAUCUGGAGGAACACCGGUGGCGAAGGCGGCGUCCUGGACCAACACUGACACUGAGGAGUGAAAGCCAGGGGAGCAAACGGG